Molecule: long non-coding RNA, 1855 nt
Organism: Oxyura jamaicensis (ruddy duck)
Lineage: Eukaryota; Metazoa; Chordata; Aves; Anseriformes; Anatidae
Exons: 2
Source: RefSeq, a predicted model, not a curated record
UUGAGAAUUAGAGCAGUUUUGUUCAUUUACAAGAUUGCAAGCAACAAGGAAAACAAAACAAAACUCUGAGAGAAUGUGAAAAAGAAAACAAAAGCACAAUUUUUGCUUGGGCAGCAGUAGGCUACUCGGGUCACUGCAGCUCUUCGGAAGAAACCACAGCAAGAGCAGAGUAACCUGGGGAGUAACUGCACAAAGCAAAGGGCACCCUGGAUUCGAAGGCUGGAACUAAGCAGGAAAGCAAGCAAGAAAUCCGGUAUUUUGGGAAUGGACAGCUGACGUGCCACCUUAAAAAAAAUAAAUAAAAAUCCAACAGCCUUCUGCUGCACUCACAGGUCAGGUGGCUGGACAACUGCCAGCAACAAAGGUGCAAGCCACACCAACAGGAAGGGCUUAGUAUUUCUAGGCUCUGCACCAUGCUGGUGCAUGUAGCUACAUGGCCUGUGGAAUGGAGCCCGCUCGUCCUCCUGCCUUGGCACGAGUGUCUGCUUGCAAAAGAGAAGAGCAAGUGCAUGUCUGUGAUGUGUGUUCUGUGGGAAAAGUGGAUGGAGGCCUCUUCCCUCUACAGUGUAGUACUGCAUGCUAAGGAAAUGCAGAGCAUUCAUCUUAGUCCAGGAGAUAAUCAAAUAAAAAUCACAUGAAACCCAUUCUUAAAUGGCCUUGGUGUAAAGGGAAGGAAGUCUUUAGGGGCCAGAAGGUUUUACAUCUGAUGCUAUUAGGUUAUUUUUUCCUAGGAUUCAUAUAUUGCCUCUUAUAACCACAGAGAAGGAGCAUGAAAUCUCCUAUUGACAUAUAAAAUAUCCCAUGCCACCCAUUCAUGUCAGUAGCAGCACGAAGCAGUGGAAGAAUGAGGCAACUACCACGUCAAAAGGGGCUGCCUCCAAGAUGCCAGAGCACUCAGAAGUGAGCAUAUGUUUGACUUCCCUGAGUUUAGAAGACAACUGCAAAACCUGAUAGCGUAAUUUUCAGGUACACCUAGGAAAAGCUGUGUUAUUAGAAAGAUUGGAAUCAAAACAGCAGCAAUUUCAGCCUGAAGGAAAAGAGCAACUGCAGUUCAUAAAGGAUCACAAACCGUGGGUAACAGAACCUUAAAAAUCUGGAAGCGACUCCUUUAACUUCAGUAACAGCUUGCUCAGACAAGGACAGCUCUGAAACUGGACCAACAUUGACACCUAGUGGCUGCUCAGAAGCCAGACGUUUUCCGUGGAGCUCGUCACCCUUUCAUGUCAGGAUCUCAGUAAUGGGAUGUGACGGAGUGAUUUUCCAAACAAGGAACCAAUUGCAGUUAGCUCCUUCUAGAGUCUUAAUGCAGGCUUUCUGUCAGGAGGUGCCAGAUGUCACAGAACAUGAAUGGUUUUCUCUUGACAGACAGAAACCUGAAGAUGCCAUACUUUUGGACACUAGGCAAUACAACCUCCAUUUGUUUUCCUCACUGUGAUUAACACUUUUUAGAGCUGCCUGAAGUUUUCUGUUACUGCAACUCUCAAAGACACAGCUCAAUCUUCAUAUUAAAACCAAACAUCUUCUUUCUUCUGAUCUCCUAAAGUCUUGGAGAACUUUACUGUAAAUGAUGAUUUGAGUGAUCACUUAGGCACUGUAACAUCACUCUAUCACAGUAAAACAAAAUAAAGAAGAAAAUGUAAAUUAAGUAAAUAAACCAAAGACAUUGAAGCAAACAGCACUUUUUUAUCAUCAUUCCUCCUCUGUUCCUGAAAAUCUGCAACAGAUCUUAACAGAGAUUGUUUCUGAAAGAGGAAUCAAAAUUAAAUAAAAUCAAUUAAAAAAAAAAAAUAAACCUCUGGCAAUCGAUGGGAGCAGCCAUAAAGGUGAUCUGCCUGUACUGGGGAAAAUACUGACA